AUGGGGAACGGGCAGACUGCCCUGCUCUGGGAGGACCGAUGGAUACGUGGCCAAUCCGUGCGCGAGCUCAUGCCCAACCUCUACGGCUGCAUCCCCAAGCGACGACGGAAGACGAGAACCGUGGUGGACGGACUCAAUGGCAACUCCUGGGCACGCGACAUCCAAGGCAACCUCGGCCUCCACGAGAUUGGUCAGUAUCUGCAGCUCUGGCAGAUCAUGCAGCGCACUGAGCUCUCCACCACACCGGACAGGUUGAUCUGGAGAUGGACGGCGAGUGGCAUCUACUCCGCGCAGUCCUGCUACACGGCCACCUUCCAUGGAUCAACGAGCUGUCAUUCCUGGAAGCUAAUCUGGAAGUGUUGGGCGCCGCCGCGGGUCAAGUUCUUCCACUGGUUAGCCAACCAGGACCGCUGCUGGACGGCAGAGAGGCUGGCGCGCCACGGUCUCCAGCAUCAUCCCCGCUGCCUCCUAUGUGACCAGCAACCGGAGACGAUGCGACAUCUGCUGCUGGAAUGCCCCCUAGCCCGACAGGCAUGGCACGAGACCCUGGCCUGGCUACGCAUACCGGCCCCGAUCCCAACACAAGAACUGUCGCUUACGGAUUGGUGGAACCACGCCAAGGAAGACACGCCGCCGAUCCUUCGCAAGGCCCUGAAAUCUGUCGCGCUGCUCGUGCCUUGGAUGGUCUGGAAACACAGGAACAGCUGCGUCUUCGACAAUACGACUCCAUCCCUUAACAUGCUCUUAGAUAGCAUUCAGGACGAGGCCCGCGCAUGGGCGGCAGCUGGGGCACCUGGUCUCCGACUUGUGCUGCCCCAAACCUGGGAUGUGCAUUAA
RNAcentral lists this ribosomal RNA (837 nucleotides) under Triticum aestivum (bread wheat). Its description in RNAcentral is "partial small subunit ribosomal RNA". The record is from RNAcentral. Lineage: Eukaryota; Viridiplantae; Streptophyta; Magnoliopsida; Poales; Poaceae.